Molecule: ribosomal RNA, 443 nt
Filed under: Hesperomyces virescens
Lineage: Eukaryota; Fungi; Ascomycota; Laboulbeniomycetes; Laboulbeniales; Laboulbeniaceae
Description: SSU rRNA
Rfam family: Eukaryotic small subunit ribosomal RNA
Source: RNAcentral
GACUCCGGAGAGGGAGCCUGAGAAACGGCUACCACAUCCAAGGAAGGCAGCAGGCGCGCAAAUUACCCAAUCCCGAUACGGGGAGGUAGUGACAAGAAAUACCGAUUCAGGAUCUUAUUGGAUCUUGAGAUUGGAAUGAGUACAAUUCAAACCCAUUAACGAGGAACAACUAGAGGGCAAGUCUGGUGCCAGCAGCCGCGGUAAUUCCAGCUCUAGUAGCGUAUAUUAAAAUUGUUGCAGUUAAAACGCUCGUAGUUGAACUUUGGGCUUGGCUGGCUGGUCCGCCUCACCGCGUGCACUGGUCCGGCUGGGCCUUUCCUCUUGGGGAUCCACAUGCCCUUCACUUGGGUGUGUUGGGGAACCAGGACUUUUACUUUGAAAAAAUUAGGGUGUUCAAAGCAGGCAUUUGCUCGAAUACAUUAGCAUGGGAUAAUAGAAUAGGA